This is a long non-coding RNA of Alligator mississippiensis (American alligator), 876 nucleotides long. RefSeq lists it as uncharacterized. The transcript is spliced from 3 exons. Lineage: Eukaryota; Metazoa; Chordata; Crocodylia; Alligatoridae. The record is from RefSeq and is a predicted model, not a curated record.
GGAGCAUAGGCAGAGGGGGAAACAUUUUUUUCAGGGGGGCUGACAGUGUGAUCACAUGCACAUGUGCCCAUGUCCAUGUGCCCAUGUCUGCCCCAGCAGGAGCUGAGGCAGAUGUCAUCUACAUGGACUCUAAGAAGGCCUUCGAACAGUUUUGCAUCCUGUUCUCAUAAGGAAGCUAGCAGGCUGUGGAGUGGAUGCUUGCACAGUCAGUUUCUAGGAGUGACUUGGCUCAUAGCUGCUUAUCUGGGUCCUGUGCCCAUGGCUGGAAGCAGAACCCAUGCUGCAGGUGGCAGAGGGGGAGGAAAUGUUGGCUCAAGUCAUCAAGGUCAUUGUUUGUUUUCCUUGAAACAUUCUGAAGUGAAACAGUCUGAUGCUGCUGUUCUGAGUUGCAGCUGCCUUACGGAGCAUGUAAACCCUGUCAAUCGUGGGGCUAGCCAAAAAUAUUUGCUUUGCAUUGCCCAGGGACUUCACCCUCCUACAGCAGAAGACUUCAGUAGAAAUCACUCGCAUCUGACAGAAGAGGCAAGAUUCCAAGGAGUCCCGUGUGCAAAUGGGGAGCUGGCUCAUGCUGUGCAUAAUAGGACCACAAAAAUUCAUGUUUCAGCAACUUUUAUUUCCAUGUCCAUGCUGUCACAGUGAUAGUAUUAUGGACAGUGACAGCCAGUGACACAGAAGAUGCCAGUAUGGAUACUAAAGACUGGAGCUGCAGGUCUGAUGGUGGAAGACAUUGUUCAUGGAAUAAAUGUGUCAUAAACAUGCAGAGACUGUUAUAAAGUCAGGUCUUUAUCACUUUGAAUAAUUUUGUAUCAUCUGAAAAUGUGGCCACCAUGCUACUUAUCCUGUUUUCCAGAUAAUUUAUUAAUAUUAAACAACACC